GUCUUUAAGCUGUUUUUGGGGGAUGCUGUAGGACUGCUGGUCUCUAUUGAGACCACAGCUAUGUCCCUGCCUCACCACAGGUCUUGUUGACCCAGACCCUGACCUGUGGACAAGCCUCCUGACCUCGAACCUGCCUCAUCACUGGGAUCUCAGCCAUGAGCUGGAUUUUGGUCAAAGCUGGCCAUCAUCUUUGCACUCUUCUCACUCAGGUGUGAAAAUGAGGAACAGAAAUUGAACAUCAUCCAAGAGUGGCAUAACUGGAAAUCAAAAUCCACAUCUGCUUCGUCAUGGCCUCGGUGUAGGGAUUGCCUGGCCACACAUCCGAACAAUGCCUUCUGAGCCAGCCAUGAGAUUUUCCUGCAGGAAAUGAAGAACUGGAUGUGCAGACACAGCUGUCCCUCAAGCAAGAGGCCCUUUCUGUUUGCCCUCACUCAUUUGUCAUCCCAUGACCUGCACUGCAGGCAGAAGGAAGAAAACUCUUGGGCUGGUUCAAAGUUGGUGUUUCUAUCCAAAAUCCAGAAAUAGAUACUGUAAAUAACACUCGUGAUGCAGUCCUUUAGUGCUGCAGAGAAAGACUAUGCUGUAAUUACUUCCAGUGGGACAGAAAAUCUGUUAGUGCUUGUAUGCUGUAAGAGGGAAGGAGAACGUGUGUGCCCACCACCCCUUUGCCAGGUUGGGCUUUGCUCGAGGUGUUAUAGCUACUGCCCUACCCCAUGCUCCCAACCCUUGGUUCUGCACCCAUCUCGUGGAUUGCUGAAACAGGAGUGAAAAUGAGACCGCACAGAAGGAGCCCUUGAAUACGUGCCUAUCUCCGUAUCAGCACCCGCUUGGAGUAACACAAGAGGUACAAAGAAUGUCCUGCAGGCAGAGAGAGACUGCAGCUAUUUCACAUGGACAGGGGAGAUAAUCAGUGAAUUGAUGGUCCUUGUGGAAUGGACUUAGGCACUUACAGAAAUCUACACUUGGAUGAUUUUUUUGUUUAUUUUUGAAUAUUUCCUGACAGCUGGUGCUGGAAUUUUUGUUCUCUGUCGAGUAAACCCCUCUCAUUGCCCUUGUUAGAUACAAGCAGAUGAACCGUGCAGCUAGCAGGCAGCAUGCAGAGCAUUUGGGGGGGGGGGGGGGGAAACUGCCCCUUACUAGAUGUGCUGUUACAGGCCGGAGUUGUAAAAAUAAAUAAAAUAAAAAAAUAUAUUAAUAAUAGUAAAGUCUCAGAGAUUGAACAGGGGAGUGUAGUAAUGAUCUCUAGCUUGAGUCCCUCCUGCUGUGUCUGGCUGGCCCUCCAGAGCUCAAAUAGCAUCGUCCACCCUCACUUUAAAUGUCUGGAAUUACAUGCCACAGUGUCUGAACUUGUAAGAGCAAGGAGUUGCAGUGAGGUCUGAUCACACUGGUGUGAGUGCUUUCCUUAAUCAUGGAAAUGACCCCCCUUGAUCCCUCCCCAAGGUACUGUGCUGUGACCCCACAGCUCAGAGAAGCCAACCUGGAGCUGUCCUCCCAUAGGAACCUGAGGACACUCCAACAGCUUGGUCACAGACUUCCCCAGUUGGCUGAGAGUUGCUUGAGCUGAGAGGCAUAAAACAAAUCAGCAAACUGAAAUGAUGCAUCCAACCCCCCCGCUCCUAGCAGCUCUCCUUGCUGCCACACCAUGCUGUAAACUUCACUGUAAUUUGCUGUCCACUAACUGCACAAACCGUCCUUCGGUUAUUAACUUUCUCCCUUGCUGCACUUGUUU
This is a long non-coding RNA of Anas platyrhynchos (mallard), 1729 nucleotides long. RefSeq lists it as uncharacterized. The record is from RefSeq and is a predicted model, not a curated record. Lineage: Eukaryota; Metazoa; Chordata; Aves; Anseriformes; Anatidae.